CAACGUUCUCAGGGCGGGGUGUAAUUCCCCACCGGCGGUAAUGGCGCGCAAUGCGUCUAGCCCGCGAGCGCUUGGGGAGUUUCAGGCUUGAACUGAAGCGCUUCAAGGUCAGCAGACCCGGUGUGAUUCCGGGGCCGACGGUCAUAGUCCGGAUGAAGAGAGAACGGGA
RNAcentral lists this non-coding RNA (169 nucleotides) under Pseudomonas cichorii. Its description in RNAcentral is "FMN sequence". It matches the Rfam family "FMN riboswitch aptamer (RFN element)". Rfam says of the family: The RFN element is a highly conserved domain that is found frequently in the 5'-untranslated regions of prokaryotic mRNAs that encode for flavin mononucleotide (FMN) biosynthesis and transport proteins. This element is a metabolite-dependent riboswitch that directly binds FMN in the absence of proteins. In Bacillus subtilis, the riboswitch most likely controls gene expression by causing premature transcription termination within the 5' untranslated region of the ribDEAHT operon and precluding access to the ribosome-binding site of ypaA mRNA. Lineage: Bacteria; Pseudomonadati; Pseudomonadota; Gammaproteobacteria; Pseudomonadales; Pseudomonadaceae. The record is from RNAcentral.